ACCGAGUGAGGGCCCUCUGGGUCCAACCUCCCACCCGUGUUUAACGAACCUUGUUGCUUCGGCGGGCCCGCCUCACGGCCGCCGGGGGGCAUCCGCCCCCGGGCCCGCGCCCGCCGAAGACACCUGUGAACACUGUCUGAAGUUGCAGUCUGAAACUAGCUAAAUUAGUUAAAACUUUCAACAACGGAUCUCUUGGUUCCGGCAUCGAUGAAGAACGCAGCGAAAUGCGAUAAAUAAUGUGAAUUGCAGAAUUCAGUGAAUCAUCGAGUCUUUGAACGCACAUUGCGCCCUCUGGUAUUCCGGAGGGCAUGCCUGUCCGAGCGUCAUUGCUGCCCUCAAGCACGGCUUGUGUGUUGGGCCCCCGUCCCCCCCACCGGGGGGACGGGCCCGAAAGGCAGCGGCGGCACCGCGUCCGGUCCUCGAGCGUAUGGGGCUCUGUCACCCGCUCUUGUAGGCCCGGCCGGCGCCAGCCGACCCCCCUCAAUCUAUUUUUUCAGGUUGACCUCGGAUCAGGUAGGGAUACCCGCUGAACUUAAGCAUAUCAAUAA
This 548-nucleotide unclassified non-coding RNA is filed under the name Penicillium sp. 6 DT-2020. RNAcentral describes it as "sequence contains ITS1, 5.8S rRNA gene, ITS2". The stretch from base 173 to 326 matches the Rfam family "5.8S ribosomal RNA". The record is from RNAcentral. Lineage: Eukaryota; Fungi; Ascomycota; Eurotiomycetes; Eurotiales; Aspergillaceae.